Molecule: ribosomal RNA, 403 nt
Filed under: bacterium
Lineage: Bacteria
Description: partial 16S ribosomal RNA
Rfam family: Bacterial small subunit ribosomal RNA
Source: RNAcentral
UGGGGCAUAUUGCACAAUGGGGGAAACCCUGAUGCAGCGACGCCGCGUGAACGAAGAAGGUAUUCGUAUCGUAAAGUUCUGUCCUAUGGGAAGAUAAUGACAGUACCAUAGAAGAAAGCUCCGGCUAAAUACGUGCCAGCAGCCGCGGUAAUACGUAUGGAGCGAGCGUUGUCCGGAAUUAUUGGGCGUAAAGGGUACGCAGGCGGUUUAAUAAGUCGAAUGUUAAAGAUCGGGGCUCAACCCCGCAAAGCAUUGGAAACUGAUAAACUUGAGUAGUGGAGAGGAAAGUGGAAUUCCUAGUGUAGUAGUGCAAUACGUAGAUAUUAGGAGGAAUACCAGUAGCGAAGGCGACUUUCUGGACACAAACUGACGCUGAGGUACGAAAGCGUGGGGAGCACACAGG